This 72-nucleotide transfer RNA is filed under the name Camelus bactrianus (Bactrian camel). It matches the Rfam family "tRNA". From Rfam's summary of the family: Transfer RNA (tRNA) molecules are approximately 80 nucleotides in length. Their secondary structure includes four short double-helical elements and three loops (D, anti-codon, and T loops). Further hydrogen bonds mediate the characteristic L-shaped molecular structure. tRNAs have two regions of fundamental functional importance: the anti-codon, which is responsible for specific mRNA codon recognition, and the 3' end, to which the tRNAs corresponding amino acid is attached (by aminoacyl-tRNA synthetases). tRNAs cope with the degeneracy of the genetic code in two manners: having more than one tRNA (with a specific anti-codon) for a particular amino acid; and 'wobble' base-pairing, i.e. permitting non-standard base-pairing at the 3rd anti-codon position. Lineage: Eukaryota; Metazoa; Chordata; Mammalia; Artiodactyla; Camelidae. RNAcentral also lists the same sequence under 1 other name. The record is from Rfam by way of RNAcentral.
GGGUAUAUGGUUCAGUGGUAAAGUGCAUGCUUAGCAUGCAGGAGGUCCUGGGUUCAAUCCCCAGUACCUCCA